This 522-nucleotide long non-coding RNA is filed under the name Setaria italica (foxtail millet). RNAcentral's name for it is "long non-coding RNA (SITA_LNC005370)". Lineage: Eukaryota; Viridiplantae; Streptophyta; Magnoliopsida; Poales; Poaceae. The record is from RNAcentral.
AAACUACUACUACUUAGGAAAAGAGAAGCGGUCAUUAUCAUCAAACAAGCAAGCCUCACAGAAAUAGUUCGUCGAUACAUACCAGUCUAAGGUGUGGCUGGCUACAACUUACAAGAAAUAGUUCACAACACUGCCAACACAGUUCAGGUACUUGAAAUCCACAGAUCCCCAUAGCGGAGUUCACAACACUGCCAACACAGUACAGGUACUUAAAAUCCACAGAUCACUGGGCUAGUCUGAAUGCAUAAAGAUGGGUGUCAAACUGCAAACAUCGAAAUAGCGCGGGUACAUGGAAUACUCCAGGAUACUCCUUGGUGGAAGCUGCUCACUGCUCAGCAUCUCAGCAGUAAAACAUGACACGCUUCACGUUCUCCUUGAGAGCGGGCAGGGGCCUAACAGCAACACUUCCCGCAGCCCUGCUGCUGCGUGCCCCACCUGGUGGAGGGCCACGGGCGCCACUUGCCAUUGACCCGCUGUCAGAGGUAUCUGGCUCCAUGUAGAAGCGAGCUCGGAAGGCUGCCA